Long non-coding RNA from Pseudophryne corroboree (corroboree frog), 223 nucleotides. RefSeq lists it as uncharacterized. The record is from RefSeq and is a predicted model, not a curated record. Lineage: Eukaryota; Metazoa; Chordata; Amphibia; Anura; Myobatrachidae. The transcript is spliced from 4 exons.
CAUUUGGCUCUGGACACUUGAACAAUUUAGUGUUGGAAAUAUGCAUUGAGCCUUCAGCUGCCAUGUGCUGUUCUAAUAAAAGACUAGCAUCCUCACUGUGUUGAAGAAGCAAUCUAGCACAUCAGUGUGACCUAGUAUGUUGUCCAGGUGUUUUAAGUGCCAAUCUUGAUAAAGGUCCUCAUAUGGACCGAAACGUCGAUGAAAAACGGCAUCAACAGUGAAC